Molecule: ribosomal RNA, 468 nt
Filed under: uncultured bacterium
Lineage: Bacteria
Description: partial 16S ribosomal RNA
Rfam family: Bacterial small subunit ribosomal RNA
Source: RNAcentral
GAUGAACGCUGGCGGCGUGCUUAACACAUGCCAGUCGAACGGUGAAGGCGGAGCUUGCUCUGCUGGAUCAGUGGCGAACGGGUGAGUAACACGUGAGCAAUCUGCCCCUGACUCUGGGAUAAGCGCUGGAAACGGCGUCUAAUACUGGAUACGAGCUGCGAAGGCAUCUUCAGCAGCUGGAAAGAAUUUCGGUCAGGGAUGAGCUCGCGUCCUAUCAGCUUGUUGGUGAGGUAAUGGCUCACCAAGGCGUCGACGGGUAGCCGGCCUGCGCGGGUGACCGGCCCCGCUAGGACGGAGACACGGCCCAGACUCCUACGGGAGGCAGCAGUGGGGAAGAUUGCACAAUGGGCGAAAGCCUGAUGCAGCAACGCCGCGUGGGGGACGACGGCCCUCGGGUUGUAAACCUCUUUUAGCAGGGAAGAAGCGAAAGUGACGGUACCUGCAGAAAAAGCGCCGGCUAACUACGUG